RNAcentral lists this transfer RNA (105 nucleotides) under Moniliophthora perniciosa FA553. It matches the Rfam family "tRNA". Rfam says of the family: Transfer RNA (tRNA) molecules are approximately 80 nucleotides in length. Their secondary structure includes four short double-helical elements and three loops (D, anti-codon, and T loops). The record is from Rfam by way of RNAcentral. Lineage: Eukaryota; Fungi; Basidiomycota; Agaricomycetes; Agaricales; Marasmiaceae.
GGCCGACUAGCUCAGUUGGUUAGAGCGUCGUGCUAAUAAGCGUCGACCUAAUACGCCUGAUGCACUAUUACGCGAAGGUCUUGGGUUCGAUCCCCACGUUGGCCA